GACGAACGCUGGCGGCGUGCUUAACACAUGCAAGUCGAACGGAAAGGCCCUGCUUUUGUGGGGUGCUCGAGUUGCGAACGGGUGAGUAACACGUUAGUAACCUGCCCUUUACUUUGGGAUAACUUCAGGAAACUUGGGCUAAUACCGGAUAGGAGCUCCUGCUGCAUGGUGGGGGUUGGAAAGUUUCGGCGGUUGGGGAUGGACUCGCGGCUUAUCAGCUUGUUGGUGGGGUAGUGGCUUACCAAGGCUUUGACGGGUAGCCGGCCUGAGAGGGUGACCGGACAAAUUGGGACUGAGAUACGGCCCAGACUCGUACGGGAGGCAGCAGUGGGGAAUAUUGAACAAUGGGCGGAAGCCUGAUGCAGCAACGCCGCGUGCGGGAUGACGGCCUUCGGGUUGUAAACCGCUUUCGCCUGUGACGAAGCGUGAGUGACGGUAAUGGGUAAAGAAGCACCGGCUAACUACGUG
This 468-nucleotide ribosomal RNA is filed under the name uncultured bacterium. RNAcentral's name for it is "partial 16S ribosomal RNA". It matches the Rfam family "Bacterial small subunit ribosomal RNA", at positions 28 to 507 of the family's 1533-position model. The record is from RNAcentral.